Molecule: ribosomal RNA, 253 nt
Filed under: uncultured bacterium
Lineage: Bacteria
Also listed under: 1 other name
Description: partial 16S ribosomal RNA
Rfam family: Bacterial small subunit ribosomal RNA
Source: RNAcentral
GACGAACCGUGCGAACGUUGUUCGGAAUCACUGGGCUUAAAGGGCGCGUAGGCGGUUUCUCAAGUCCGGGGUGAAAGCUUUCGGCUUAACCGGAAAAGGGCCUUGGAUACUGAGAAGCUGGAGGGAGGUAGGGGCCGUUGGAACUUCCAGUGGAGCGGUGAAAUGCGUUGAUAUUGGAAGGAACUCCGGUGGCGAAAGCGAACGGCUGGAUCUCUUCUGACGCUGAGGCGCGAAAGCUAGGGGAGCAAACGGG